Molecule: transfer RNA, 169 nt
Filed under: Candidatus Woesearchaeota archaeon
Lineage: Archaea; Nanobdellati; Candidatus Woesearchaeota
Description: tRNA-Arg
Source: RNAcentral
GCCCCUGUCGUCUAGCCUGGAUACCUCCAGUUUCCUGAAGAAUAAGGGGAAUUAAGCGUAAGGCCAAUAGGACGCGAGCUUGCGGAGCUUGAAGCCAGGGUUCAAAUAUUUUCCGAACAUCGGGAGGAAACAACCGAGAAGCGGAUCUUUGAAAGUCCCUGCGGGGGCG